This 465-nucleotide ribosomal RNA is filed under the name uncultured bacterium. RNAcentral's name for it is "partial 16S ribosomal RNA". It matches the Rfam family "Bacterial small subunit ribosomal RNA", at positions 28 to 507 of the family's 1533-position model. The record is from RNAcentral.
GACGAACGCUGGCGGCGUGCUUAACACAUGCAAGUCGUACGGUAAGGCCCUUUCGGGGGUACACGAGUGGCGAACGGGUGAGUAACACGUGAGUAACCUGCCCACAACUUUGGGAUAACGCUAGGAAACUGGUGCUAAUACUGGAUAUGUGCUCCUGCUGCAUGGUGGGGGUUGGAAAGCUCCGGCGGUUGUGGAUGGACUCGCGGCCUAUCAGCUUGUUGGUGGGGUAGUGGCCUACCAAGGCGGCGACGGGUAGCCGGCCUGAGAGGGUGACCGGCCACACUGGGACUGAGAGACGGCCCAGACGCCUACGGGAGGCAGCAGGGGGGAAUAUUGAACCAGGGGCGCAAGCCUGAUGCAGCAAGGCCGCGGGCGGGAUGACGGCCUUCGGGUUGUAAACCGCUUUCAGCAGGGACGAAGCUUUUUGUGACGGUACCUGAAGAAGAAGCACCGGCUAACUACGUG